ACACGUAAGUGGCGAGCGUUGUUCGGAAUUAUUGGGCGUAAAGGGCGCGUAGGCGGCUCGACAAGUCUGGUGUAAAAGGAUACGGCUUAACCGUAAUCAGGCGCUGGAAACUGGCGAGCUAGAGUUCUAGAGGGGGAGCUGGAAUUCCUGGUGUAGGGGUGAAAUCUGUAGAUAUCAGGAAGAACACCGGUGGCGAAGGCGAGCUCCUGGCUGGAUACUGACGCUAAGGCGCGAAAGCGUGGGGAGCGAACAGGAUUAGAAACCCUAGUAGUCC
RNAcentral lists this ribosomal RNA (274 nucleotides) under uncultured bacterium. RNAcentral's name for it is "partial 16S ribosomal RNA". It matches the Rfam family "Bacterial small subunit ribosomal RNA", at positions 523 to 796 of the family's 1533-position model. The record is from RNAcentral.